CGAUGAAGCUGGAGCUUGCUCCGGUGGAUUAGUGGCGAACGGGUGAGUAACACGUGAGCAAUCUGCCCUUGACUCUGGGAUAACUGCGGGAAACUGUAGCUAAUACCGGAUACGAGAUUCGGAGGCAUCUCCGGAUCUGGAAAGAAUUUCGGUCAAGGAUGAGCUCGCGGCCUAUCAGCUUGUUGGUGAGGUAAUGGCUCACCAAGGCGACGACGGGUAGCCGGCCUGAGAGGGUGACCGGCCACACUGGGACUGAGACACGGCCCAGACUCCUACGGGAGGCAGCAGUGGGGAAUAUUGCACAAUGGGCGAAAGCCUGAUGCAGCAACGCCGCGUGAGGGAUGAAGGCCUUCGGGUUGUAAACCUCUUUUAGCAGGGAAGAAGCGAAAGUGACGGUACCUGCAGAAAAAGCACCGGCUAACUACGUGCCAGCAGCCGCGGUAAUACGUAGGGUGCAAGCGUUGUCCGGAAUUAUUGGGCGUAAAGAGCUCGUAGGCGGUUUGUCGCGUCUGCUGUGAAAACCUGAGGCUCAACCUCAGGCCUGCAGUGGGUACGGGCAAGCUAGAGUGCGGUAGGGGAGAUGGGAAUUCCUGGUGUAGCGGUGGAAUGCGCAGAUAUCAGGAGGAACACCGAUGGCGAAGGCACAUCUCUGGGCCGUAACUGACGCUGAGGAGCGAAAGCGUGGGGAGCGAACAGGAUUAGAUACCCUGGUAGUCCACGCCGUAAACGGUGGGUGCUAGUUGUGGGUUCCAUUCCACGGAAUCCGUGAC
This 770-nucleotide ribosomal RNA is filed under the name uncultured Actinomycetes bacterium. Its description in RNAcentral is "bacterial SSU rRNA". It matches the Rfam family "Bacterial small subunit ribosomal RNA", at positions 67 to 847 of the family's 1533-position model. Lineage: Bacteria; Bacillati; Actinomycetota; Actinomycetes. The record is from RNAcentral.